This 975-nucleotide ribosomal RNA is filed under the name Salmonella enterica. Its description in RNAcentral is "partial 23S ribosomal RNA". It matches the Rfam family "Bacterial large subunit ribosomal RNA", at positions 1183 to 2141 of the family's 2925-position model. The record is from RNAcentral. Lineage: Bacteria; Pseudomonadati; Pseudomonadota; Gammaproteobacteria; Enterobacterales; Enterobacteriaceae.
AAAGCGUAUACAAAGUCGAGUCGGUUUAAGGAUACGUUCGUUGGGUAGGGGAGCGUUCUGUAAGCCUGUGAAGGUGUGUCGUGAGGCAUGCUGGAGGUAUCAGAAGUGCGAAUGCUGACAUAAGUAACGAUAAAGCGGGUGAAAAGCCCGCUCGCCGGAAGACCAAGGGUUCCUGUCCAACGUUAAUCGGGGCAGGGUGAGUCGACCCCUAAGGCGAGGCCGAAAGGCGUAGUCGAUGGGAAACGGGUUAAUAUUCCCGUACUUGGUGUUACUGCGAAGGGGGGACGGAGAAGGCUAUGUUGGCCGGGCGACGGUUGUCCCGGUUUAAGCGUGUAGGUGUGUGUUCCAGGUAAAUCCGGUUCACUUUAACACUGAGGCGUGACGACGAGGCACUACGGUGCUGAAGCAACAAAUGCCCUGCUUCCAGGAAAAGCCUCUAAGCAUCAGGUAACAUCAAAUCGUACCCCAAACCGACACAGGUGGUCAGGUAGAGAAUACCAAGGCGCUUGAGAGAACUCGGGUGAAGGAACUAGGCAAAAUGGUGCCGUAACUUCGGGAGAAGGCACGCUGACACGUAGGUGAAGUGAUUUACUCAUGGAGCUGAAGUCAGUCGAAGAUACCAGCUGGCUGCAACUGUUUAUUAAAAACACAGCACUGUGCAAACACGAAAGUGGACGUAUACGGUGUGACGCCUGCCCGGUGCCGGAAGGUUAAUUGAUGGGGUCAGCGCAAGCGAAGCUCCUGAUCGAAGCCCCGGUAAACGGCGGCCGUAACUAUAACGGUCCUAAGGUAGCGAAAUUCCUUGUCGGGUAAGUUCCGACCUGCACGAAUGGCGUAAUGAUGGCCAGGCUGUCUCCACCCGAGACUCAGUGAAAUUGAACUCGCUGUGAAGAUGCAGUGUACCCGCGGCAAGACGGAAAGACCCCGUGAACCUUUACUAUAGCUUGACACUGAACAUUGAGCCUUGAUGUGUAG